This 508-nucleotide ribosomal RNA is filed under the name uncultured bacterium. RNAcentral's name for it is "bacterial SSU rRNA". It matches the Rfam family "Bacterial small subunit ribosomal RNA", at positions 29 to 524 of the family's 1533-position model. The record is from RNAcentral.
AUUGAACGCUGGCGGCAGGCCUAACACAUGCAAGUCGAGCGGCAGCGGGAAAGUAGCUUGCUACUUUUGCCGGCGAGCGGCGGACGGGUGAGUAAUGCCUGGGGAUCUGCCCAGUCGAGGGGGAUAACAGUUGGAAACGACUGCUAAUACCGCAUACGCCCUACGGGGGAAAGCAGGGGACCUUCGGGCCUUGCGCGACUGGAUGAACCCAGGGGGGAUUAGCUAGUUGGUGAGGUAAUGGCUCACCAAGGCGACGAUCCCUAGCUGGUCUGAGAGGAUGAUCAGCCACACUGGAACUGAGACACGGUCCAGACUCCUACGGGAGGCAGCAGUGGGGAAUAUUGCACAAUGGGGAAACCCUGAUGCAGCCAUGCCGCGUGUGUGAAGAAGGCCUUCGGGUUGUAAAGCACUUUCAGCGAGGAGGAAAGGUUGGUAGCUAAUAACUGCCAGCUGUGACGUUACUCGCAGAAGAAGCACCGGCUAACUCCGUGCCAGCAGCCGCGGUAAG